GCCGGCGUGGCGCAAUGGUAGCGCGUAGCUUUCCUACACAGCAAGGCUGAAGUUGCGGGUUCAAUCCCCGUCGUCGGUU
Molecule: non-coding RNA, 79 nt
Organism: Lentinula lateritia
Lineage: Eukaryota; Fungi; Basidiomycota; Agaricomycetes; Agaricales; Omphalotaceae
Source: the annotation of a GenBank genome assembly